RNAcentral lists this long non-coding RNA (4839 nucleotides) under Salvia miltiorrhiza (redroot sage). RNAcentral describes it as "long non-coding RNA (SMIL_LNC006470)". The record is from RNAcentral. Lineage: Eukaryota; Viridiplantae; Streptophyta; Magnoliopsida; Lamiales; Lamiaceae.
CGUCCCCCAAAUAACUUCUUUUCUUUCUUUCCAUUUUUGGAAACCAACCACACCACUAAUAAUACUUUAUUUAUUCUUACUUUUCACUUUUCACCACUUUCAAUCUACUUAAUAUCUAAAAACACAAAAACAAUGCACCAAAAUAUACACACACAUUCCCGCCCAAUUGCAUUUCAGCCAAUAUUUUUUUUUGUCUUAUUUGCACGUGCUUUGUGCUGCAAAAUUGUGGUUGCAAUAAAUGACUCAAUAAAUAUUUUUACUGUUCAACAACUAUUCAACAUAUCUUUUUGUACAAUUGCUGACAUAUCUAAUACUAUACAUAUAAUUAUUGUGGGGCUCAAAGACAACAAUUAAUGCAGAGCUCAUUAAUACAAAACUUAGCCACCAAGAUACAUUCUUUAUAUAUCCCUCACCAGCCAUAUUUCUUCUGCAUCUCCUUUUCUCCCUCACCGGCCACUUUUCUUUCGGCACUAUCUUGCUUCACCUUGCUUUCUUGCUUCUCUUUCUUUUUCCAUUUUUCUUUCGGCACUUUCUUGCUUCAAUGUGAGCACUCUUUCUAUUUUGCUUCUCUUUCUUAUCUUUCUGUUCUUGCUUCUCUUUCUUUCCUCUUUUUUCUUUGUCAGCUUCUUGCACCUUCUUUUCUACAUUUUAAUGAGCAGCAGCUUCUUGCACCUUCUUUUCUACAUUUUAAUGAGCAGCAGCUUCUGUUUCUAUCUGUAAUAUUGGCAUAUUCUUGCUCUUUUCUCUAAGCUUCUUGCUUCCAAUUUUUAUAUUUUUUUUAUUUCUACCUAAACUUUUCAUUUCUACUCUAAGCUUCUUUCUCACAACUUCUUACAUCAUUUUCUUUAUUUUCUUUCUUUUUUAUAUUUUAGUUUUUUUUGUUUCUAUUUUAUAUAUUUUUUUCUAUUUUACAUAUUCGUUCUUUUCUUUCUUAUAUCUUCAGUUUAAUUUUCCAUCCUAUUUUAUGUGUUUAUAACUACAACUUUAGAUUCUUUCUUUCUUUAUUUUUUUUAUAUCUUCAACUAUAUUUUCUUCCUAUUUUAUGUGUUUAUUUCAGUUUUACAUCUUUAGAUUUCUUUUCUGCACUUCUAAACAAAAAUAGAGCAAAACCCCCCCCUAUUUUCUGCACUUCUAAACAAAAAUAGAGCAAAACAUUACUAUAAUCCCAUAUACAACAAACAGGUUUAUGAUAAUGACGAAAGUGCAAAAACACGUUUGAAAUAUGAAUAAAACAUGCAAAAAGAAACAACAGGUUAUCUGAAUAUGAAAUUUCGAAGAGUUUGCAUGAUAUAUGCUAAAUAAGGUUUAAGUAACUUACUCAGUCAAACAAAGGCAGAUUUCGGAGGUAGCAAAAAAGAAUGAUUUUUUUGUUCUUAUUCUUAAUCAAAAAUAAUUUCAAAGAGGCAGCAAAUAUUUCAAAUGGAUUUGUGUUAGCAACAAGUAAUGAUUUUUAGUUCUUCAUAUGUGCUGCCUCUUUGAUUUUUUUUGAAACAGCAAAGUAAACAAAAUUCCUGCAUUUUCUAUGAAACACGAAAAGCAAGAGCAAAUAGAUCUACGGAGAUCUAAAAAACGACAAGUAACAGUUUCAUGUGUAGAUAUUCAGAGAUCUACGAAAAUGAAAAUCUGAAAAACAAUAAACUAAUAAUGCGAAAAAAAAAUAAGAUGUCUGUAUAGGAAAAAAAAAGAAAAGUGAAGCAAUAUCAUCAAAAAAUACCUAAAUUCGUUCUCAAAUAAAAUUUGUGCCUUGGGUUUUUAAAGAACAAAAUGACAAAAAACAUUGGAGCAUAUGCAGACGAAAAUUUGUUGCUAUUGUUUAAAUGAACAAAAACGAUACUUCAGCAAGAAAAAUUAAACAUGGAGAAAAUUAAAAAAAUUAAAAUUAAAAAACGAAAAACUAAUAAACGAAAAAAAAAAUUAGAUCUUAUUCGGUGUUAAAAAAAACGAAUCUGCAAGCAAAAAAAUUCAAAAUUUAAUAUGGAGAAGUAGGCCGAGAUCUGGAGGCUAGGGCUUGGACGACGGCGGCGGCGUAUCUGUGCAGACGGAGGCAGCGGCGNUACAUUCUAAGAGCAUCCGCAAUGGGGUUACAUGAUAGCUUACAUGAUAGCCUAAUUUAUGAUGGGGGAUCACAUGGUGUAAAGAUGCUGCAGUGGGGUUACAUGAUAGCUUACAUGAUAGCAUCUACUUAAUAUAUAAAAACACAAAAACAAUGCACCAAAAUACACACCCACUUUCCCGCCAAAUUGCAUUUCAGCCAAUAUUCUUUUUUGUCUUAUUUGCACGUGCUUUGUGCUGCAAAAUUGUGGCUGCAAUAAAUGACUCAAUAAAUUUUUUACUGUUCAACAUAUCUUUUUCAGAUUAUUUUUGUACGAUUCCUGACAUAUCUAAUACUAUACAUAUAAUUAUUGUGGGGCUCAAUGACAACAAUUAAUGCAGAGCUCAUUAAUUAAAACUUAGCCACUAAGAUACAUUCUUUAUAUAUCCCUCACCAGCCAUAUUUCUUCUGCAUCUUCUUUUCUCCCUCACCGGCCACUUUUCUUUCGGCACUAUCUUGCUUCACUUUGCUUUCUUGCUUCUCUUUCUUUUUCCAUUUUUCUUUCGGCACUUUCUUGCUUCAAUGUCAGCACUCUUUCUAUUUUGCUUCUCUUUCUUAUCUUUCUGUUCUUGCUUCUCUUUCUUUCCACUUUUUUCUUUGUCAGCUUCUUGCACCUUCUUUUCUACAUUUUAAUGAGCAGCAGCUUCUUGCACCUUCUUUUCUACAUUUUAAUGAGCAGCAGCUUCUUUUUCUAUCUGUAAUAUUGGCAUAUUCUUGCUCUUUUCUCUAAGCUUCUUGCUUCCUAAUUUUUAUUAUUUUUUUAUUUCUACCUAAACUUUUCAUUUCUACUCUAAGCUUCUUUCUCACAACUUCUUACAUCAUUUUCUUUAUUUUCUUUCUUUUUUAUAUUUUAGCUUUUUUGUUUCUAUUUUAUAUGUUUCUUUCUAUUCUACAUAUUCGUUCUUUUCUUUCUUAUAUCUUCUAGUUUAAUUUUCCUAUCCUAUUUUAUGUGUUUAUUUCUGAUUAACUACAACUUUAGAUUCUUUCUUUCUUUAUUUUUUUAUAUCUUCAACUAUCUUUUCUUCCUAUUUUAUGUGUUUAUUUCAGUUUUACAUCUUUAGAUUUUUCCCCCCUAUUUUCUGCACUUCUAAACAAAAAUAGAGCAAAACCCCCCUAUUUUCUGCACUUCUAAACAAAAAUAGAGCAAAACAUUACUAUAAUCCCAUAUACAACAAACAGGUUUAUGAUAAUGACGAAAGUGCAAAACACGUUUGAAAUAUGAAUAAACAUGCAAAAGAAACAACAGGUUAUCUGAAUAUGAAAUUUCGAAGAGUUUGCAUGAUAUAUGCUAAAUAAGGUUUAAGUAACUUACUCAGUCAAACAAAGGCAGAUUUCGGAGGUAGCAAAAAAGAAUGAUUUUUUUGUUCUUAUUCUUGAUCAAAAAUAAUUUCAAAGAGGCAGCAAAUAUUUCAAAUGGAUUUGUGUUAGCAACAAGUAAUGAUUUUUAGUUCUUCAUAUGUGCUGCCUCUUUGAUUUUUUUUGAAACAGCAAAGUAAACAAAAUUCCUGCAUUUUCUAUGAAACACGAAAAGCAAGAGCAAAUAGAUCUACAGAGAUCUAUAAAACGACAAGUAACAGUUUCAUGUGUAGAUAUUCAGAGAUCUACGAAAAUGAAAAUCUGAAAAACAAUAAACUAAUAAUGCGAAAAAAAAUAAAGAUGUCUGUAUAGGAAAAAAAAAGUGAAGCAAUAUCAUAAAAAAUACCUAAAUUCGUUCUCAAAUAAAAUUUGUGCCUUGGGUUUUUAAAGAACAAAAUGAACAAAAACAUUGGAGCAUAUGCAGACGAAAAUUUGUUGCUAUUGUUAAAUGAACAAAAACGAUACUUCAGCAAGAAAAAUUAAACAUGGAGAAAAUUAAAAAAAUUAAAAUUAAAAACGAAAACUAAUAAACGAAAAAAAAAUUAGAUCUUAUUCGGUGUUAAAAAAAACGAAUCUGCAAGCAAAAAAAUUCAAAAUUUAAUAUGGAGAAGUAGGCCGAGAUCUGGAGGCUAGGGCUUGGACGACGGCGGCGGCGUAUCUGUGCAGACGGAGGCAGCGGCGUGGAGCAGCGUCAGUGCCUAGAUGUGAGGGCGGAGUUGGUGGUUUAGGGAUGUAGGGCUUUUGGACGGCGGCUUUGUAGUGAUAUGGUUGCAGGUUUUUCGCCGGCAGAGGGUGAGGCAGAGGGAGAGAGAAGAGGAUGGAGAGCAUCAGCGACCGUGGCUUCUCGUCGGCAGCGGCGCAUGUGGAAUAAAGAGGAGAGUUUGGACUAGGAGAAGAAACGCCUAACGAGAGAGAAGAGAAGAGGCGGCGCUGAACCAAUGAGAGAAGAUGAGUAUUUGAGCAGUAUUUUAGGGUUUAAAAGUGUAGAUGGGCUGUAUUUAAUUUAUUUAUUUUAUUUUAAUUUGUUGGGUUGUAUUUAUUUAAUUGGGCUGAAUUUAUUGUACUUAUUUAAUUGGGCUGUAUUUAUUUAAUUGUUCUAUUAUUAAUAGUGGAAUAUAUUUAUAGUGGAAUAUUAGGGUUAAUAUUUGAUGGGCGAUUGAGCUGUUUUUUGAGAAGUAGCCGAUUGAGCUGUUUUUUGAGAAGAAAGAAGGCGAGGCGCAAGUAGUAGUAUAUAUUUAUAGUGGAAUAUUAGGGUUAAUAUUUGAUGGGCUGAGAUAGGAGGAAACAAGUACUAUAUAGUUUUUUAAUGGGUUUAUAAAAUUUAAGCUCAAUUAUGAUACUUUUUUUUGAAGGAAAAACCAAACUCAUAUAUUAGUGAACAUCAUUCUGGC